CUAAGAGCCUGAUCCAAAGUCCAUGGCCGCCAAUGGGUCUCUUUCCAUUGACUUCAGUGGGUUUUGGACCAGGCCCUAGGUUCC
Molecule: microRNA precursor, 84 nt
Filed under: Pelodiscus sinensis (Chinese soft-shelled turtle)
Lineage: Eukaryota; Metazoa; Chordata; Testudines; Trionychidae
Description: miRNA (ENSPSIG00000019557.1)
Source: RNAcentral